Small nucleolar RNA from Spodoptera frugiperda (fall armyworm), 93 nucleotides. The record is from RefSeq and is a predicted model, not a curated record. Lineage: Eukaryota; Metazoa; Arthropoda; Insecta; Lepidoptera; Noctuidae.
UUUAAAUGAUGAUUUGCCAUGCUAAUACCGAGAAAGUUUAAGACUUUCACUGAGUUUAAAUAUAUUCCUGACCAUUUCACACAAUUGAUGUGA